AUCGCUUCUCGGUCUUUUGGCUAAGAUCAAGUGUACUAUCUGUUCUUAUCAGUUUAAUAUCUGGUAUGUCCCCUACCCGGGGACCAUAUAUUAAAUUGUUUUUUGGAACUGGGAGAUAGAAUAGGGGCUUGCUUUGUCCACUCCACGCAUCGACCUGGUAUUGCAGUACCUCCAGGAACGACGCACCCCCC
RNAcentral lists this small nuclear RNA (191 nucleotides) under Sander lucioperca (pikeperch). RNAcentral describes it as "U2 spliceosomal RNA (ENSSLUG00000007844.1)". It matches the Rfam family "U2 spliceosomal RNA". Rfam says of the family: U2 is a small nuclear RNA (snRNA) component of the spliceosome (involved in pre-mRNA splicing). The record is from Rfam by way of RNAcentral. Lineage: Eukaryota; Metazoa; Chordata; Actinopteri; Perciformes; Percidae.